CUGGCGGCGUGCCUAAUACAUGCAAGUCGAACGAGUUCUGAUUAUUGAAAGGUGCUUGCAUCUUGAUUUAAUUUUGAACGAGUGGCGGACGGGUGAGUAACACGUGGGUAACCUGCCCUUAAGUGGGGGAUAACAUUUGGAAACAGAUGCUAAUACCGCAUAAAUCCAAAAACCGCAUGGUUCUUGGCUGAAAGAUGGCGUAAGCUAUCGCUUUUGGAUGGACCCGCGGCGUAUUAGCCAGUUGGUGAGGUAACGGCUCACCAAGGCAAUGAUACGUAGCCGAACUGAGAGGUUGAUCGGCCACAUUGGGACUGAGACACGGCCCAAACUCCUACGGGAGGCAGCAGUAGGGGAUCUUCCACAAUGGACGCAAGUCUGAUGGAGCAACGCCGCGUGAGUGAAGAAGGCUUUCGGGUCGUAAAACUCUGUUGUUGGAGAAGAAUGGUCGGCAGAGUAACUGUUGUCGGCGUGACGGUAUCCAACCAGAAAGCCACGGCUAACUACGUGCCAGCAGCCGCGGUAAUACGUAGGUGGCAAGCGUUAUCCGGAUUUAUUGGGCGUAAAGCGAGCGCAGGCGGUUUUUUAAGUCUGAUGUGAAAGCCCUCGGCUUAACCGAGGAAGUGCAUCGGAAACUGGGAAACUUGGGUGCAGAAGAGGACAGUGGAACUCCAUGUGUAGCGGUGAAAUGCGUAGAUAUAUGGAAGAACACCAGUGGCGAAGGCGGCUGUCUGGUCUGUAACUGACGCUGAGGCUCGAAAGCAUGGGUAGCGAACAGGAUUAGAUACCCUGGUAGUCCAUGCCGUAAGCGAUGAAUGCUAGGUGUUGGAGGGUUUCCGCCCUUCAGUGCCGCAGCUAACGCAUUAAGCAUUCCGCCUGGGGAGUACGACCGCAAGGUUGAAACUCAAAGGAAUUGACGGGGGCCCGCACAAGCGGUGGAGCAUGUGGUUUAAUUCGAAGCAACGCGAAGAACCUUACCAGGUCUUGACAUCUUUUGAUCACCUGAGAGAUCAGGUUUCCCCUUCGGGGGCAAAAUGACAGGUGGUGCAUGGUUGUCGUCAGCUCGUGUCGUGAGAUGUUGGGUUAAGUCCCGCAACGAGCGCAACCCUUAUGACUAGUUGCCAGCAUUUAGUUGGGCACUCUAGUAAGACUGCCGGUGACAAACCGGAGGAAGGUGGGGAUGACGUCAAAUCAUCAUGCCCCUUAUGACCUGGGCUACACACGUGCUACAAUGGAUGGUACAACGAGUUGCGAGACCGCGAGGUCAAGCUAAUCUCUUAAAGCCAUUCUCAGUUCGGACUGUAGGCUGCAACUCGCCUACACGAAGUCGGAAUCGCUAGUAAUCGCGGAUCAGCACGCCGCGGUGAAUACGUUCCCGGGCCUUGUACACACCGCCCGCCACACCAUGAGAGUUUGUAACACCCGAAGCCGGUGGCGUAACCCUUUUAGGGAGCGAGCCGUCUAAGGUGGGACAAAUGAUUAGGGUGAAGUAAUA
Molecule: ribosomal RNA, 1492 nt
Filed under: uncultured organism
Description: SSU rRNA
Rfam family: Bacterial small subunit ribosomal RNA
Source: RNAcentral